Neogale vison (American mink) is the source of this 1103-nucleotide long non-coding RNA. RefSeq lists it as uncharacterized. The transcript is spliced from 3 exons. The record is from RefSeq and is a predicted model, not a curated record. Lineage: Eukaryota; Metazoa; Chordata; Mammalia; Carnivora; Mustelidae.
CUUCCUAACUGAAUGCCAUCUAGGGAGGGGAGGUGGUUGCCAGCUCUUAGGACCUCAGCGGACUCUACCUCAGAAUCACACAGGAAGUCCACUAACACCACUCGAGGAGGGAUGGCAAGCUGGAUUGCAUUGUUCUUCCUGCUCCAUGUUGGCCAAUGGACCGUCAGUUGAACACUGAUAUAAUCAGGGCAGGAAUCAACAGAAAGUGCUGGAAAAUGGAUGAGAUGGUGAUGUCAGCUAACAUGAGAACAGCUGGAUCUGGACCAGAAGUGGAAAUCAUGCUUGUGAAUCAGCCUCAGGAUGAUCAACCCCAGAGGGAGGAACUGACACUAAUUCAAGGGCAUGGAAGAGUCAUACAAAUCAGAAUGUCUCAUUUAUUAAUGCUGCGAGAAAUAUAACCAGUUCCUUCAGGCUGACAUCAAUUUCUUUUCCUAUCGUCAAAGUAGAUGAAAAACCAAAUCCUAAUCGGGGGACACUUUUUGGAUUAUUCAGAAAUAGUCAAAACCAGGUGACUGGUACAUUAUCUUCUAUAGGCAGAUACACUUGGGAAAGAGGAGAUUGCUUAAUGAACACAGAGUCAGAAAGCGGAGUUUUGUAUUAAUGGACUAUUUAAAAGAACCAAGAAAAAACAGUUUGAGCUAUCUCUCCAAGAUGAGCGGUAAUCUUGCUAAUCGCUUUGACCACUUACAUUUAUCUUCAAAUGAGAGACCAGAUUUAUUCCCAAACCCUGUACUUAAAACUUCCUCUUCCAAUGACAGAACAUAGGCAGACACUGCCAAUGUCUGUCUCUAGGGGUCGUUUCUAUCCCCAGCGGCUGAAACACUCCUCUUCCUAACCACCUAAGUACACACACCUACUUCUGAUGGCACGUUCUCUCAUUUCUUGGUAUAUACUUAGGAAUGGAAUUUUUUUUCAUUGCUAGGUCACAGGAUGAGCCCAUUUCAAUGGAUCAUGUAAAAUUUUUUUCCAAAAUGAGUGUAUCAGUUUAUAUUCAGGCAUACUUUUUCUCUGUUUCACGUUAUAGCCAAUCCUUGGUAUUUGUACUUUUUGGCCAAUCAGUGUUUGUAAAAUGGUAUUUUAUUUUAUUGUGGUUUUUGACCACA